UGGGGAAUAUUGCACAAUGGAGGGAACUCUGAUGCAGCGACGCCGCGUGAGUGAUGAAGGAAUUCGUUUCGUAAAACUCUGUUCUAUGGGAAGAAAAGGACUGUACCAUAGGAGAAAGCUCCGGCUAAAUACGUGCCAGCAGCCGCGGUAAUACGUAUGGAGCGAGUGUUGUCCGGAAUUAUUGGGCGUAAAGGGUGCGCAGGCGGCUUUACAAGUUGGAUGUGAAAUAUUGUGGCUCAACCACAAACGUGCAUCCAAAACUGCAAAGCUUGAGUUAAGGAGAGGUAAGCGGAAUUCCGGGUGUAGCGGUGGAAUGCGUAGAUAACAGGAGGAAUACCGGUGGCGAAGGCGACUUACUGGAAUUAAAAUGACGCUAAGGCACGAAAGCGUGGGGAGCAAACAGG
RNAcentral lists this ribosomal RNA (404 nucleotides) under Fusobacteriota bacterium. RNAcentral describes it as "Fusobacteria bacterium partial 16S ribosomal RNA". It matches the Rfam family "Bacterial small subunit ribosomal RNA", at positions 355 to 776 of the family's 1533-position model. The record is from RNAcentral. Lineage: Bacteria; Fusobacteriati; Fusobacteriota.